UGCAGUCGACGGUAACAGAACUAGCUUGCUAGUUGCUGACGAGUGGCGGACGGGUGAGUAAUACUUAGGGAUCUGCCUCUGUGUGGGGGAUAACUAUUGGAAACGAUAGCUAAUACCGCAUAACGUCUACGGACCAAAGAGGGCUUCGGCUCUCGCGCAGAGAGGAACCUAAGCGAGAUUAGCUUGUUGGUGAGGUAAAGGCUCACCAAGGCGACGAUCUCUAGCUGUUCUGAGAGGAAGAUCAGCCACACUGGAACUGAGACACGGUCCAGACUCCUACGGGAGGCAGCAGUGGGGAAUAUUGCACAAUGGGGGCAACCCUGAUGCAGCCAUGCCGCGUGUGUGAAGAAGGCCUUCGGGUUGUAAAGCACUUUCAGUUGUGAGGAAAGGUUAGUAGUUAAUACCUGCUAGCUGUGACGUUAACAACAGAAGAAGCACCGGCUAACUCCGUGCCAGCAGCCGCGGUAAUACGGAGGGUGCGAGCGUUAAUCGGAAUUACUGGGCGUAAAGCGCACGCAGGCGGUCUGUUAAGCUAGAUGUGAAAGCCCCGCGCUCAACGUGGGAGGGUCAUU
This 572-nucleotide ribosomal RNA is filed under the name uncultured bacterium. Its description in RNAcentral is "bacterial SSU rRNA". It matches the Rfam family "Bacterial small subunit ribosomal RNA", at positions 56 to 627 of the family's 1533-position model. The record is from RNAcentral.